GUGGGGAAUCUUGCGCAAUGGGCGAAAGCCUGACGCAGCCAUGCCGCGUGGAUGAUGAAGGUCUUAGGAUUGUAAAAUCCUUUCACCGGUGAAGAUAAUGACUGUAGCCGGAGAAGAAGCCCCGGCUAACUUCGUGCCAGCAGCCGCGGUAAUACGAAGGGGGCUAGCGUUGCUCGGAUUUACUGGGCGUAAAGGGCGCGUAGGCGGACAUUUAAGUAAGGGGUGAAAUCCCGGGGCUCAACCUCGGAACUGCCUUUGAUACUGGGUGUCUUGAGUAUGAGAGAGGUGUGUGGAACUCCGAGUGUAGAGGUGAAAUUCGUAGAUAUUCGGAAGAACACCAGUGGCGAAGGCGACACACUGGCUCAUUACUGACGCUGAGGCGCGAAAGCGUGGGGAGCAAACAGGAUUAGAUACCCCAGUAGUCC
Molecule: ribosomal RNA, 425 nt
Filed under: uncultured bacterium
Lineage: Bacteria
Description: partial 16S ribosomal RNA
Rfam family: Bacterial small subunit ribosomal RNA
Source: RNAcentral